GACGAACGCUGGCGGCGUGCUUAACACAUGCAAGUCGAACGGAAAGGCCCUGCUUGCGGGGUACUCGAGUGGCGAACGGGUGAGUAACACGUGGGUGAUCUGCCCUGCACUUCGGGAUAAGCCUGGGAAACUGGGUCUAAUACCGGAUAGGAGCCAUUUUUAGUGUGAUGGUUGGAAAGUUUUUUCGGUGUAGGAUGAGCUCGCGGCCUAUCAGCUUGUUGGUGGGGUAAUGGCCUACCAAGGCGGCGACGGGUAGCCGGCCUGGGAGGGUGGACGGCCACAUUGGGACUGAGAUACGGCCCAGACUCCUACGGGGGGGAGGAGGGGGGAAUAUUGCACAAUGGGCGCAAGCCUGAUGCAGGGACGCCGCGUGGGGGAUGACGGCCUUCGGGUUGGAAACGCGUUUCGCUAGGGACGAAGCUUUUUGUGACGGUACCUAGAGAAGAAGCACCGGCUAACUACGUG
This 465-nucleotide ribosomal RNA is filed under the name uncultured bacterium. RNAcentral describes it as "partial 16S ribosomal RNA". It matches the Rfam family "Bacterial small subunit ribosomal RNA", at positions 28 to 507 of the family's 1533-position model. The record is from RNAcentral.